This 155-nucleotide ribosomal RNA is filed under the name Dystovomita paniculata. RNAcentral's name for it is "5.8S ribosomal RNA". The stretch from base 45 to 155 matches the Rfam family "5.8S ribosomal RNA", at positions 1 to 111 of the family's 154-position model. From Rfam's summary of the family: 5.8S ribosomal RNA (5.8S rRNA) is a component of the large subunit of the eukaryotic ribosome. It is transcribed by RNA polymerase I as part of the 45S precursor that also contains 18S and 28S rRNA. Lineage: Eukaryota; Viridiplantae; Streptophyta; Magnoliopsida; Malpighiales; Clusiaceae. The record is from RNAcentral.
GGUGUAUGCGUCGGGGAUUGGUUCCUUGUAGUCGUAAACAAAACGACUCUCGGCAACGGAUAUCUCGGCUCUCGCAUCGAUGAAGAACGUAGCGAAAUGCGAUACUUGGUGUGAAUUGCAGAAUCCCGUGAACCAUCGAGUCUUUGAACGCAAGU